UACAGAGGUCUCAAGCGUUGUUCGGAUUCAUUGGGCGUAAGGGGUGCGUAGGUGGCGCUGUAAGUCGGGUGUGAAAUUUCGGAGCUUAACUCCGAAACUGCGUUCGAUACUGCGGUGCUUGAGGACUGGAGAGGAGACUGGAAUUCAUGGUGUAGCAGUGAAAUGCGUAGAGAUCAUGAGGAAGACCAGUGGCGAAGGCGGGUCUCUGGACAGUUCCUGACACUGAGGCACGAAGGCCAGGGGAGCAAACGGG
RNAcentral lists this ribosomal RNA (253 nucleotides) under uncultured bacterium. Its description in RNAcentral is "partial 16S ribosomal RNA". It matches the Rfam family "Bacterial small subunit ribosomal RNA", at positions 524 to 776 of the family's 1533-position model. The record is from RNAcentral.